UGGCAUCAGAAUACAGUAAAUCAAACGUCAGCUCAGCUGUCAGUAUCUGCCUGAUUCCACCCCACCUCCAUACUGCAGGGGCUUCUUUGAUGCCAUCACCAUGGACCAAGAUGGUACCAGCCUAGUAUUCCGUGGGAGCCUGUUCUGGACUGUGUUUCUUGCAGGCCAGACCAGCUCCCCUCUACCUCUGCAGAACCGCUGGCCAGGACUACCCCUCACUAUUGAGGCAGCUGCUUACUCAAAUAUGGACAAUAAGUUAUACUUUUUCAAAGGCGAGUGUGGCGUUACUCUAGCAGCGAUGUGGACCCAGGCUUCCCCCUGAGGAGAAGUGAGCUAGGCCUCCCUGGACACCCUGACCAGGCCUUCACCUACCGCCACCUGGGCCACCAGCGUUACUUUGUGCUUAACUUUGGGACCCUGAUGCCCAACUCAUACAACCCCGCAGCCUGGGGGACUGGAGGGGCGUCCCCCAGAGGGCCAACGGGGCCCUCAACAACCCUGAUGGACAGGUAUACUUCAAGGAGCAGCAGUACUGGAGCUUUGACCCCGAGAAGGUGCAGGUGACUGGAGGGGGGAGGGGGGACACAGAGCUGGAGUGGACAGGCUGUCAUGGAACUCACGACAGAGGCAAUUAUAUACUGUGACCACAAGAUGGCGAUAACUAACUAACUGAUUCAAGUUUUUGGUCAGGGUAAUGUGCAAUGGAUAUACUCAGACUAAGCAAUGACAGAAGUCAAGGGAUUUGUUUAUGUUCCCAUAUUUUUUAUGUUUAUACAGUAUUAUUAAUAUUAAUAUUCCUACAUCCUACAGUGAUACAAUGUUUUUGUUUGUAAUGUGCUUGUUUUGUUCUAGACCGUAUUAAGAUAUUCUGUAUGAGUCAUGGCCCAUCUGUGGGCUGUACAUUUUAUUAUGAUCUCUUUUAGUCCUCAUUUGGACUAAUCUUCCAAGAGUCCUUAAACAUUAAAAUACAAUUUAUAAUACGAUCACAUUUUCACAUGUAACACACUGUUACAAACAGACAUAAUACACUGACAUAUUGACCAGUUAAACAGUCUAAAAAGAUAGAUUGAUUCUUCAUCUACCAUAGUCCAGCACAACUUUCCUAUGUAUUAUAUUAAAAUGGUUUUAAAGUAUUGUUUGAAUGUAUAUAUUGAAUGUUUCUGGUUUGCUCAGAUAAAUAAUUAAAUGUCUUUAUUGCUCUGAAUCGAAAUCAUUAUUUUGCCAAUUUCUCUUUUCUGCCUGGAUAACACAUACAGUAUGUGGAAAAUCUAUUCCUAGUAUUUACGGAAUGUCUGUCUCUUACCAACUGAAUACUGCUGUGAAUAGAGUUUGGACGUUUUAAAUGGUGUAUAUUAUGAAAUAAAAUAAGCAUGCAUUUUUCAAUUAUCUUGUUGAUUGA
Long non-coding RNA from Oncorhynchus mykiss (rainbow trout), 1399 nucleotides. RefSeq lists it as uncharacterized. Lineage: Eukaryota; Metazoa; Chordata; Actinopteri; Salmoniformes; Salmonidae. The record is from RefSeq and is a predicted model, not a curated record.